GGGGAUUCCCACCUCUAGUAUAUGGGGGUGGGAAUGCACGUUUGUGUCUGCGUGCACCUGUUCGUCUGUGUCUAUAUGUCAGCUUGGGUCUUAGACUCCACCUCUCUGGGUGCAUCUCAGGCUCUCCGAGGUAUGGAGGCCCAUCUCACCACACUCCCUGCCGGUGGCUGAUGCCCUCAGACGUUGGUGUGUUGGUGGUUCUUGGUGUCUGGGGCUGAGCGCUCAUGUAUGUACCGGCUCACUCCUGGUGGCCGAUUGGCGGGGCCUGGUGCCUGUGGCCCAGCUGAGCCCCUUCCGGGAGCUGAGGUGCCCUCAGGCGUCUGCCCUCAGCCACGGAGCAGAGUGCUGGGUGACCUCUUGUUUGGGCUCUCAAGCUCUUCCCAGGAGGGUGGUACGGUUGCCCCCCUUGUGGUCCUCCUUGGGUCCUCGUAUUCUGGAUGUCUGGGGCCUGGAUCUCCUCCAUACCUGCUUCAUGCCCUGGGGGACAGAGCUAUGGCUCCCCACACUCCCUAGCAGAUCGUUACAUGGAGAAACCUUUGGAAUACAAGCGUGCCGAUCCACACAGGUGUGCACACAGGUGUACACACAGGUGUUCACAGACUAAAACUACACCUUUCUUGGCUGUUACCUCAAAGCACAUUGUGCGCUGUCGAUCUUGCGUGCUGCACAAUAUCGUUUAAUAUUUAGUAUCUACUGUUAUCUACUGCUAGCUAGUUUAUUGUGAUGGUGUUGUAUUUAUUAUUUUGCUCUUUCUUGUUUGUUUUCUCUUCUGUUUUUUUUUAUCUGCAUACAGGUGAUCAAGAUGUUUUUGUUUGUUUUUCUUUUUUUUUUCUUCCCCCCUUUCUCACCGUCUCUUCUCUCCUCCUCUAUUUUUCUUUCUCUCCCUCUCCUUCUUUUAUUCUUUCUCCCUGUCCUAUCCGCCAGUCAUGUCUGUCCCGUCUGUAACAACCGAAAAUCAAAUCAAAUAAAUACAUAAUUAUAAGAAAGGUCAAUCAAAUGGGCCAAUAUGGCAAGGCCAUGAUUCAGACAACAAUUCUGAUGGCUAAAGAUCCAAACAGGACAGGCAAAAAAAAAAAAAAAGAAGGAAAGAAAACUAGGCAAACAACUGCGCCAGUGUAAAGCAGCAGAGCUCCACCUCUCAUGAAGAAGAUGAACAGCAUCUCCAUUCCCCAGUAGUGCGGUUCAUACCCUGGGGUGAGCCAGGACAUUUAUUUGAGAGUCCUUUCUAAAACAGUGAGCCAACUGCUGCCACACAUCCAAAUCCAUGCUUGCUGGAUCCAAUCUAGUUACAUUCAUUUGUCGUAUGUCACUGUGUGGCACAAUGUGAACCCAAAUGCAGGACAGAAACUUCAAAACAAAUUUGCUACGUGUGACUCUUCUGAUCUUCUACAACUCGGACAAUAAAUACUCACCAGAUAAUGAGGGGAGAAAAAACAGCUAGGAGACAUAGUGGGAACAAAUCGGGGAUAACAAGACAAGAAAAGUAAAAGCACAAGAGAAGACUGGUUAGAUAAAUUAAAAGCCAAGUGGUAAAAAGUGGUCUCUCCUCCUGCUUUCUAUGAUUGGCCAUAUCAACCUUAUAAAAAUGGUUGUGUAAAAAUGUUUUAGAUCUCUCUGAGAACGUGUGCAUUUAUC
Astatotilapia calliptera (eastern happy) is the source of this 1635-nucleotide long non-coding RNA. The record is from Ensembl. NCBI's taxonomy places the organism in Eukaryota, Metazoa, Chordata, Actinopteri, Cichliformes, Cichlidae.